UGCACCUUCCCCCAGAGCGGUCGGGGGA
Molecule: small RNA, 28 nt
Filed under: Bombyx mori (domestic silkworm)
Lineage: Eukaryota; Metazoa; Arthropoda; Insecta; Lepidoptera; Bombycidae
Description: ovarian small RNA-33458
Source: RNAcentral